This is a long non-coding RNA of Triticum aestivum (bread wheat), 2111 nucleotides long. RefSeq lists it as uncharacterized. The record is from RefSeq and is a predicted model, not a curated record. Lineage: Eukaryota; Viridiplantae; Streptophyta; Magnoliopsida; Poales; Poaceae. The transcript has 7 exons.
UGAACCUGCAAACACCCUGCGUGGCGAGCUGGGCCGUGGGCCUUGUAGCGUGCGUGUGUUGAGGGUGGCUGGCCCAGGAUGCCAGCUACAUAUUGUACCCAGACCUGAUCGAUUGGGCAGGAAGGAAAAUAUCUGAAGUUAAACUCUCUCCUCACCACGCUCCUCACCUGCUCCCUUCUCUCUUUCUCCCCCAAAUUCUAGAUCGAGAUCCCAGGGCAUUACAUAUCUAUGUGACAUACCUUAGGUUAAGAUUAGACAGGCCCACAAGCCGUGUUGUAAGAGCCUGAGAGGCGGAGAUGUUUGCCGAUUAGUAGAUCAGCUUCUGGUUCACACCGGAGGGCGGAAUCCACACCUCCGUCAGUCAGGUCGUCGCUGAUGGUGAUACUGAUGCGACCGCUCGAUUCAGCCCUAGCUCCACGGCAGCGGCGGCGGCGGAACGAUCGAGGAUGUAGUCAGAGCAAACGGAUGGCAAAGCGAUGUAUUGUGUGUCUAUGCCCAGGUCGACCUGAUUGUAGCACGUGGCCUAUGGGCUAACAAUUUUGGGCUUGGGCUAUCCAACACUAGUUACGUAAAGGUGAGGCAUACGUGUUUGCUAAUGGCCAGAUUUCCCUAAACAGAAAAACUAAUGUCCAGAUACUAAUUAGCAAUAGGCGUCAAACUCAAUCCAGCGUAGUCCCCGUUGAAUAUCGUUGAGGGGGGCCGAUCGAUAGGGGGGGUCUGGCCCCCGCUCGCCCCCCCUGUGGCUCCGCCACUCAGCAGAUGUAAACGUGGAAGCCGCCCGCUCCGACGUCCAGACGAGGCUCCAGCUCCACGACCGGCGGCAGCUUCCACCACGAGGUGAGCAUGCGGCAUCUGGAAAAACGUCUGUUCCUGACCCUCAAAUGUCACGUUUCCAGGAGAAAACCCGGGCACACCGUGGCUGCCUCGACAUCGACAGUAUGAUGUGCCUGCGCCGUCGGAAACGAUGCUGCUAGAGCCGAAGGGCACCAACACAUCCUCUUCCUCGGGCAGAGGCGGUAACUCAUGACGUGCUGCCAACGGCAAGCCACUCGUCUCCACCUGUUUUGGCUUGGUUUUUUCCUGGUUGGCCUAUACAGUUUCUCAUCAGAACAGAUCAUGGGGGUUCUUUCCACACGUAUCCUCGCCUGGGCGGGCCAUUCCAGAGCUUGCAGGAAGCUGAGAAUGCUCUCGAUAGCCAUCUCGAUGACCUGCGCUCUCCAAUAAUGUGCACAGAUGGGCUUCCGCAAGCGGAAAAAGCGGUACGGCAUGCUCUUUACUGGCCUGAUGGCACAAGAAGGAUGUCUUCCAGAAGCCAUCCAAAACGUGGGAAUAUCAACCUAUUGGUUCAAGCUUUACUGGACAAGUACAGUGAAGAUCACCGCCUUUUGGGGGAUCUUGCAUAUGAACUUGAUGAUCUUGUGACCUUCCAAGAAUUUUAUAUGGGGGAGACUGGCUGCCUCAAAAUGUACUGUCAUCUCAAUUUUACUACAAAAACUAAAGGAGCUGAUGAUUCUCACGGUGGCAGCAACAAUCUAUUUCUUUGCUGAAGUCGCACAAAUAAAGGGCGAAAGUGUAGAAUAUGUGCUCAAUUGUUUCUGUAUGGUGCAACAUAAUGACAAUGGCCAAUGCUAUGGUUGUACGACUUAUGGAAAUGUUGAUUUGAAGCACCCUGUCAAUGCUGAUCAAUACGAAGGUCGCCACUCUCGCCCGCACAAAACAUGGUGCGGUUUCGUCCAUCCAGGCGUACCUGCAUACAUCAAGAAUGAGGACAGGCUGGCGGAUGAGGAGGCUAGGAUAAGACGUGUAAACAUGUGCCGUGAUGAACCUCCUAGUCUGGCAAAAUCGGAUGGUGCAAAAAUGCCUGCUGGUUUGGGCAAGAGAGAAGGUGAUGGUUUGGCCAAGAGAGAGGAUGCUUGUUUGGCCAAGAGAGAGGAUACUGGUUUGGCCAAAAGAGAUGAUGGCCAGGGAAGCGGGAAAUACAUUGUACCUGCCAGACGUCAGUUGGUUUGAGUAUCCUCUCGGGUAUAUAGAUAAAUUUGGUUCUAGGUAUAUGUUUGAUCUCACUAAGCAUUAUUGUAUAUUCUUACAAUCUGCAUAGUUGCAUAUUUCCU